AGGGCUAAUGGUGGAUGCCUUGACUGUAAGAGGCGAUGAAGGACGUAUUAGGCUGCGAUAAGCCUCGGGGAGCUGCCAAAGAGCUUUGAUCCGAGGAUUUCCGAAUGGGGCAACCCAGCAUAUAGAGAUAUAUGUUACCCUACGGGGAGCGAACCUGGUGAAGUGAAACAUCUCAGUAGCCAGAGGAAGAGAAAUCAAACGAGAUUCCGUCAGUAGCGGCGAGCGAAAGCGGAUUAGGACAAACCCAAUGCUUGCAUUGGGGGUUGUAGGACCAUAACGUGAGACUAAAGAAGAUAGAUGAAAUACUUGGAAAAGUGUAGCAUAGAAGGUGAAACUCCUGUAAUUUAAAUUUUCAAUAGCUCUAAUGGUAUCCUGAGUAGGUCGGAACACGUGAUAUUUUGACUGAAGCUGGGGGGACCACCCUCCAAUCCUAAAUACUACUUACAGAUCGAUAGUGAACAAGUACCGUGAGGGAAAGGUGAAAAGUACUGCAGCGAGCAGAGUGAAAUAGAACCUGAAACCAUUAGCUUACAAUCAUUCAGAGCCCUAUGGUGCAUCUCGUAAAGUUUUAACUUUACUAGUGCACCGAAAGUCAUCAAGAUUAGCGGAGUCCUUGUAAAAUCGUAAGAUUUUAUGAGGUGCACCAGGGUGAUGGACUGCCUUUUGCAUAAUGAGCCUGCGAGUUGUGGUGUCUGGCAAGGUUAAGCCAAGUGCGAAGCCGUAGCGAAAGCGAGUCUUAAUAGGGCGAAAUAGUCAGAUGCUGCAGACCCGAAACGAAGUGAUCUAUCCAUGAGCAGGUUGAAGCUGGUGUAAGAGCCAGUGGAGGACCGAACCCGCUGACGUUGAAAAGUCUUGGGAUGACUUGUGGAUAGGGGUGAAAGGCCAAUCAAACUUCGUGAUAGCUGGUUCUCUCCGAAAUAUAUUUAGGUAUAGCCUUGUGUUGUAGCAUAUAGGGGUAGAGCACUGAAUGGGCUAGGGCUGCUUACCGCGGUACCAAACCCUAUCAAACUAUGAAUACUAUAUGUGGAAUCACAGGAGUCAGGCGAUGGGUGAUAAAAUCCACCGUCGAGAGGGGAACAACCCAGACUAACAGCUAAGGUCCCUAAGUUACAUCUAAGUGGAAAACGAUGUGGAGUUACUGUGACAACCAGGAGGUUGGCUUAGAAGCAGCCAUCCUUUAAAGAAAGCGUAACAGCUCACUGGUCUAGUGAUUCUGCGCGGAAAAUAUAACGGGGCUAAGAUGUGCACCGAAGCUUUAGAUUCGAAUUUAUUCGAGUGGUAGGAGAGCGUUCUAUUCAGCGUUGAAGAUGUACCGGUAAGGAGCGUUGGAGCGGAUAGAAGUGAGCAUGCAGGCAUGAGUAGCGAUAAUUGAGGUGAGAAUCCUCAACGCCGAAAACCCAAGGUUUCCUACGCGAUGCUCGUCAUCGUAGGGUUAGUCGGGUCCUAAGUCGAGACUGAAAAGUGUAGACGAUGGCAAAUUGGUUAAUAUUCCAAUACCAACAUAUAAGCGCGAUGUGGGGACGCAUAGAGUUAAUCGAGCUCACUGAUGGAAUAGUGGGUCGAAGGAUGUAGGUUGUUAAGUAGGCAAAUCCGCUUAACGUUAGACCGAGAUCUUACAGGCUCUUGACACUCUUCGGAGGAGAUGGAGAAUCGAUGAUACUGUCGUGCCAAGAAAAGCCACUAAGUUUAUUAUAUGUUGCCCGUACCGUAAACCGACACAGGUGGGUGGGAUGAGUAUUCUAAGGCGCGUGGAAGAACCCUGGUUAAGGAACUCUGCAAACUAGCACCGUAUCUUCGGUAUAAGGUGUGCCUACUUUGGUAUAUGGGCUUGCCCCAAAAAGCUAGAGAGGUUGCAACAAAGAGUCCCUCCCGACUGUUUACCAAAAACACAGCACUUUGCUAACACGUAAGUGGAUGUAUAAGGUGUGACGCCUGCCCGGUGCUCGAAGGUUAACUGAUGAUGUCAGCGCAAGCGAAGCAUUUGAUUGAAGCCCGAGUAAACGGCGGCCGUAACUAUAACGGUCCUAAGGUAGCGAAAUUCCUUGUCAGUUAAAUACUGACCUGCAUGAAUGGCGUAACGAGAUGGGAGCUGUCUCAAAGAGGGAUCCAGUGAAAUUGUAGUGGAGGUGAAAAUUCCUCCUACCCGCGGAAAGACGGAAAGACCCCGUGCACCUUUACUACAGCUUGACACUGUAGCUUGGAUAUUCAUGUGCAGGAUAGGUGGGAGGCUAUGAUGACUAGACGCAAGUAGAGUCGGAGCCAUCCUUGAGAUACCACCCUUGAAUAUUUGAGUUACUAACUGCGAUGAGUUAUCCUCAUUCAGGACAAUGUCUGGUGGGUAGUUUGACUGGGGCGGUCGCCUCCUAAAUAGUAACGGAGGCUUACAAAGGUUAGUUCAAAGCGGUUGGAAAUCGCUUGUUGAGUAUAAUGGCAUAAACUAGCUUGACUGUGAGACCUACAAGUCGAACAGAGACGAAAGUCGGUCAUAGUGAUCCGGUGGUUCUGCGUGGAAGGGCCAUCGCUCAAAGGAUAAAAGGUACGCCGGGGAUAACAGGCUGAUCUCCCCCAAGAGCUCACAUCGACGGGGAGGUUUGGCACCUCGAUGUCGGCUCAUCGCAUCCUGGGGCUGUAGUCGGUCCCAAGGGUAUGGCUGUUCGCCAUUUAAAGCGGUACGCGAGCUGGGUUCAGAACGUCGUGAGACAGUUCGGUCCCUAUCUUCCGUGGGCGUAGGAAAGUUGAAGAGAUUUGUCCCUAGUACGAGAGGACCGGGAUGAACCAACCACUGGUGUACCAAUUGUUCUGCCAAGAGCAUCGUUGGGUAGCCACGUUGGGAUGUGAUAAGAGCUGAAAGCAUCUAAGCUCGAAGCCAACUCUAAGAUGAACUUUCCCUGAAGUUCCCAGCAAGACUAGCUGGUUGAUAGGCUGGAUGUGUAAUGGGUGUAAGCCCUUUAGCUGACCAGUACUAAUAGAACGUUCGGCUUAUUU
RNAcentral lists this ribosomal RNA (2985 nucleotides) under wastewater metagenome. RNAcentral describes it as "bacterial LSU rRNA". It matches the Rfam family "Bacterial large subunit ribosomal RNA". The record is from RNAcentral.